UCUGGAAGACAUCUGCCAGGGUAAUGCAAUUGGCUUUAAGCUACAGCAAUUUCUCCUCAGUCGUCGUCUGGUUGUGAAGGUGUAGAAGGUAACAUAUGUAAUAAGGAUGUAUUCUGUAUAAGCAUAUGCAUACAGAAGGAAUUGUGUUGUGAUUAAGGUGUUAUAAAUGAGAGGCUGGGGAUGAAUUCUGCUGCCUUCACUGUUCAGACUAGCUGUCUGAUGCUGUGUCGUUUGUUUAACUUUGCUAUCACAUUUCCCCAUUUGCUAUAUGAAGCAAAUGCCUUGGGGCCUAUUAAUUGAUACUUAAAAUACAUAGUAAUGUUCUGUCCAUUUCUGCAGAUGGCUAGGUACAAACCUUUCUUUGUACCUGCUUAUAUGCAAGAUACCAUUAGGAGCAACUUUGAAAUUUUCAUCCUUCAGCAUGGAAAUGUGCCGUAGGACAGUGGAUUUAGAUUUUCCCAACAAAGACAUUGAGAAGGGGGAAGGUGUUUGAACUUUGUGUGUACUGCAGGAUAAAAAAUAGAGAUACAAAAUGGCAGAGAAACCCAUCCUAACAACUGGCAAUCAUGUUAUCCCUAGCCUAUUCAUCUGGUAUAUAUUGUAGCAUAAUUCUUUGAGGAGAAUUCAAAGCUAACAACAGAAAUGUUUAGAUUUUCAAGCUGUUUUGAGUGUUAAACAUAUUAGAUAUCUGAGGAGACAUUAGUUUGUGGCCUGAUAUUUAUUAUCACAAAUGAAGGCAUACACCCAAAAUAUCAAGUGGCAAAACCACAGAAGUUUGACAUAUGGUUAUCCCAGCUUCUGAAGGCUCGACAUCUGUGUAGCUGUUCAGUGAGAGUUACCAUCUCAUUAGUGCAAUUCAAAAAUAUGCCACAAUAAAUUUUGAGUCUCUGAAGCAGCAGAGUAUUCUAAUCUGACAUUGCUUGCUUUCUGCAGAGUUCAGUUACUUUGUGAGAAAAAAUUACAUCAGCACCCUUAAAUCUAUAGUUGUUCUCUAGUUUCAUAUCCCCUGUCUCUCUCAAAGAUCAAACUUUUGGAAAAAAAAUUUUUAAGUUUUCCUUAAAAACUACAACACUCUGAGAUGAUUAUGAAAAAUCUCAGAAUACUUUUAGAAUACUUGGGUGUUUAUUUGAGCAUUUUUGGAGUAAUGUUUUGAUUAAAGCACUAAAGUGACUCGUGU
Molecule: long non-coding RNA, 1177 nt
Organism: Empidonax traillii (willow flycatcher)
Lineage: Eukaryota; Metazoa; Chordata; Aves; Passeriformes; Tyrannidae
Exons: 2
Source: RefSeq, a predicted model, not a curated record